This 99-nucleotide ribosomal RNA is filed under the name uncultured bacterium. RNAcentral describes it as "partial 16S ribosomal RNA". It matches the Rfam family "Bacterial small subunit ribosomal RNA", at positions 1384 to 1482 of the family's 1533-position model. The record is from RNAcentral.
UACACACCGCCCGUCACACCAUAGGAGUGGGUUCCACCAGAAGUAGGUAGCCUAACCGCAAGGAGGGCGCUUACCACGGUGAGAUUCAUGACUGGGGUG